GAUGAACGCUGGCGGCGUGCCUAAUACAUGCAAGUCGAGCGAACAGACGAGGAGCUUGCUCCUCUGACGUUAUCGGCGGACGGGUGAGUAACACGAGGAUAACCUACCUAUAAGACUGGGAUAACUUCGGGAAACCGGAGCUAAUACCGGAUAAUAUAUUGAACCGCAUGGUUCAAUAGUGAAAGACGGUUUUGCUGUCACUUAUAGAUGGAUCCGCGCCGCAUUAGCUAGUUGGUAAGGUAACGGCUUACCAAGGCAACGAUGCGUAACCGACCUGAGAGGGUGGUCGGACACACGGGAACUGAGACACGGUCCAGACUCCUACAGGGGGCAGCAGUAGGGAAUCUUACGCGAUGGGCGAAAGCCUGACGGAGCAACGCCGCGUGAGUGAUGAAGGUCUUCGGAUCGUAAAACUCUGUUAUUAGGGAAGAACAAAUGUGUAAGUAACUAUGAACGUCUUGACGGUACCUAAUCAGAAAGCCACGGCUAACUACGUG
This 497-nucleotide ribosomal RNA is filed under the name uncultured bacterium. Its description in RNAcentral is "partial 16S ribosomal RNA". It matches the Rfam family "Bacterial small subunit ribosomal RNA", at positions 28 to 507 of the family's 1533-position model. The record is from RNAcentral.